RNAcentral lists this ribosomal RNA (494 nucleotides) under uncultured bacterium. RNAcentral describes it as "partial 16S ribosomal RNA". It matches the Rfam family "Bacterial small subunit ribosomal RNA", at positions 28 to 507 of the family's 1533-position model. The record is from RNAcentral.
GACGAACGCUGGCGGCGUGCUUAACACAUGCAAGUCGAACGGUGAAGCGCCUUCCUUUUUGGUGGGUGUGGAUGAGUGGCGAACGGGUGAGUAACACGUGAGUAACCUGCCCCCUUCUUCUGGAUAACCGCAUGAAAGUGUGGCUAAUACGGGAUAUUCUGGGUCUGUCGCAUGAUGGGUCUGGGAAAGAUAUUGUUUCGGUGGGGGAUGGGCUCGCGGCCUAUCAGCUUGUUGGUGGGGUGAUGGCCUACCAAGGCGGUGACGGGUAGCCGGCCUGAGAGGGUGGACGGUCCCACUGGGACUGAGACACGGCCCAGACUCCUACGGGAGGCAGCAGUGGGGAAUAUUGCACAAUGGGCGCAAGCCUGAUGCAGCGACGCCGCGUGAGGGAUGGAGGCCUUCGGGUUGCGAACCUCUUUCGCCAGUGAAGCAGGCCUGCCUCGUUUGUGGGUGGGUUGACGGUAGCUGGAUAAGAAGCGCCGGCUAACUACGUG